RNAcentral lists this long non-coding RNA (200 nucleotides) under Solanum tuberosum (potato). RNAcentral describes it as "long non-coding RNA (STUB_LNC001635)". Lineage: Eukaryota; Viridiplantae; Streptophyta; Magnoliopsida; Solanales; Solanaceae. The record is from RNAcentral.
UCAUUCGGCAAGUCGCUAUUCAUGUUUUAGCUCUCCUUCUUUUGCCCUAGGCUUUAGGUUUUUGAACCUCAGUCGGUGAGCUCGUUCGAGUUUGCCUUUCACAUUCGGCGUAUCACCGAGUACCGUCUAAUUAGUUUGCCUUUCGAGCCUUCAAUUUUUCUCCUUGCACUCUCGCUUUAAGAGAUGAUCAACAUGCCGCC